RNAcentral lists this ribosomal RNA (512 nucleotides) under uncultured archaeon. RNAcentral's name for it is "bacterial SSU rRNA". It matches the Rfam family "Archaeal small subunit ribosomal RNA", at positions 345 to 859 of the family's 1478-position model. The record is from RNAcentral.
AACCUCUACAAUGCACGCAAGUGUGAUAGGGUAACCCCUCGUGCUUAUCGAAAGGUAGGCUUUUGUAAUGUGUAGUGAGCAUUACGAAUAAGUGGUGGGCAAGACUGGUGCCAGCAGCCGCGGUAAUACCAGCGCCACAAGUGGAGAUCGCUUUUACUGGGUCUAAAGUGUUCGUAGCUGGUUUGUUAAGUCUCUUGUGAAAUUCCUUUAGCUUAACUAAGAAAUUGCAAGAGAUACUGACAAACUUGGAACCGGGAGGGAUAAGAAGUAUUGUUUGGGUAGCGGUAAAAUGUUAUAAUCCUUACAGGACUAACUAAGGCGAAGGCAUCUUAUUUGAACGGAUUUGACAGUGAGGAACGAGAGCUGGGGUAGCGAACCGGAUUAGAUACCCGGGUAGUCCUAGCCGUAAACUCUGCGGGUUACGCUUUGUCAAAUCUAUGGGAUUUGACAGAGGGGUAGUGAAGGCGUUAAACCCGCCACCUGGGAAGUACAGCCGCAAGGCCGAAACUUAA